Molecule: non-coding RNA, 21 nt
Filed under: Arabidopsis thaliana (thale cress)
Lineage: Eukaryota; Viridiplantae; Streptophyta; Magnoliopsida; Brassicales; Brassicaceae
Source: RNAcentral
UGUCUCAAAGAGGAUUGGUUG